AUCUCAAUAGAAUUUCUUAAAUCUUAUUUAAGGGAUAUGAUCUGAUUAGAUGAUGCUUGGGUCUUUUUGGUUUGGGGUUUUUCAGAUCUUGACGAAUUUAGUUGGUGGUUGGGGUUUCGGAAGUUGAAUUAGUUCAGAUCUGAGGCUUCAUUCAUCAGAUCUUGAACUGAUUUAGCCGGAAUAGGGGUUCGCCUAUUCCGUGGUCAUAUGUUCUGGUGGUCUUCGCGGAUGGGUCCUUGACUGUUUAUUAUCCGUGUGUUUUUCAACCGAAAUUUCAUGCUUUAUUUUUGCUUAUGUUAUGAUUUGAAAUCCUUAAUUGUGCAGUCAUUGAUUGUACCGUGUACUGUCGUUCCCUCUCUAAAUUUUAUGUUUUAUUGCUUAUUUUUUUAAGGUUCAGAUUUGAAUGUUUAUGGCCCAUUACCGGUUUCCAUGGUUGGAUCUGCUGGUUACACUUC
Molecule: long non-coding RNA, 455 nt
Filed under: Panax ginseng (ginseng)
Lineage: Eukaryota; Viridiplantae; Streptophyta; Magnoliopsida; Apiales; Araliaceae
Description: long non-coding RNA (PGIN_LNC001732)
Source: RNAcentral